GACGAACGCUGGCGGCGUGCUCAACACAUGCAAGUCGAACGGUAAGGCCCUUCGGGGUACACGAGUGGCGAACGGGUGAGUAACACGUGGGUGAUCUGCCCUGCACUUCGGGAUAAGCCUGGGAAACUGGGUCUAAUACCGGAUAGGACUCCGGACUGCAUGGUCUGGGGUGGAAAGCUUUUGCGGUGUGGGAUGGGCCCGCGGCCUAUCAGCUUGUUGGUGGGAUGAUGGCCUACCAAGGCGACGACGGGUAGCCGGCCUGGGAGGGUGACCGGCCACACUGGGACUGAGAUACGGCCCAGACUCCUACGGGAGGCAGCAGUGGGGAAUAUUGCACAAUGGGCGCAAGCCUGAUGCAGCGACGCCGCGUGAGGGAUGACGGCCUUCGGGUUGUAAACCUCUUUCAGCAUCGACGAAGCGAAAGUGACGGUAGGUGCAGAAGAAGGACCGGCCAACUACGUGCCAGCCGCCGCCGUAA
This 478-nucleotide ribosomal RNA is filed under the name uncultured bacterium. RNAcentral describes it as "partial 16S ribosomal RNA". It matches the Rfam family "Bacterial small subunit ribosomal RNA", at positions 28 to 523 of the family's 1533-position model. The record is from RNAcentral.